CUUACAUGAUGAAAUCUAUUUCUAUACAUUCGCAGUUUCCUCGGUAGCAUACGCACAAGAACCCAUCUUUGUAUGCCGGUGACCGCCACAUAGACCUUCCAUGGAUGUCUGAUUUG
This 116-nucleotide small nucleolar RNA is filed under the name Komagataella phaffii GS115. Its description in RNAcentral is "small nucleolar RNA SNORD14". Lineage: Eukaryota; Fungi; Ascomycota; Pichiomycetes; Pichiales; Pichiaceae. The record is from RNAcentral.